UACGUAGGGUGCGAGCGUUAAUCGGAAUUACUGGGCGUAAAGCGUGCGCAGGCGGUUCGUUGUGUCUGAUGUGAAAGCCCCGGGCUUAACCUGGGAAUGGCAUUGGAAACUGGCGAGCUGGAGUGUGGCAGAGGGGGGUGGAAUUCCGCGUGUAGCAGUGAAAUGCGUAGAGAUGCGGAGGAACACCGAUGGCGAAGGCAGCCCCCUGGGCCAAUACUGACGCUCAUGCACGAAAGCGUGGGGAGCAAACAGG
Molecule: ribosomal RNA, 253 nt
Filed under: uncultured bacterium
Lineage: Bacteria
Description: partial 16S ribosomal RNA
Rfam family: Bacterial small subunit ribosomal RNA
Source: RNAcentral